RNAcentral lists this ribosomal RNA (496 nucleotides) under uncultured bacterium. Its description in RNAcentral is "partial 16S ribosomal RNA". It matches the Rfam family "Bacterial small subunit ribosomal RNA", at positions 28 to 506 of the family's 1533-position model. The record is from RNAcentral.
GAUGAACGCUGGCGGCGUGCCUAAUACAUGCAAGUCGAGCGAACGGACGAGAAGCUUGCUUCUCUGAUGUUAGCGGCGGACGGGUGAGUAACACGUGGAUAACCUACCUAUAAGACUGGGAUAACUUCGGGAAACCGGAGCUAAUACCGGAUGAUCUUUUGAACCGCAUGGUUCAAAAGUGAAAGACGGUCUUGCUGUCACUUAUAGAUGGAUCCGCGCUGCAUUAGCUAGUUGGUAAGGUAACGGCUUACCAAGGCAACGAUGCAUAGCCGACCUGAGAGGGUGAUCGGCCACACUGGAACUGAGACACGGUACAGAGACCUACGGGAGGCAGAAGUAGGGAAUCUUCCGAGAAGGGCGAAAGCCUGACGGAGCAACGCAGCGUGAGUGAAGAAGGUCUUCGGAUCGUAAAACGCUGUUAUUAGGGAAGAACAUAUGUGUAAGUAACUGUGCACAUCUUGACGGUACCUAAUCAGAAAGCCACGGCUAACUACGU